UAUUCAGUUCCGAGUUCUUAUGAUGGGAU
RNAcentral lists this non-coding RNA (29 nucleotides) under Rattus norvegicus (Norway rat). The record is from RNAcentral. Lineage: Eukaryota; Metazoa; Chordata; Mammalia; Rodentia; Muridae.